Molecule: long non-coding RNA, 5438 nt
Filed under: Brassica napus (rape)
Lineage: Eukaryota; Viridiplantae; Streptophyta; Magnoliopsida; Brassicales; Brassicaceae
Description: long non-coding RNA (BNAP_LNC008472)
Source: RNAcentral
UCAUCUUUAUAUAUUUCUUAUUUUGUUGGUAAAAACAUCUUUAUAUAUUUAUCAUCACAAUCAUAUAUUAUCAAAUCAUUUCCAUGGGAAACAUUUAGCAUUUUUACCAAGCUUGCAUGGGCCAUCGGGUUUGAUAGUCCAGUUAAAUUUAUAACCGUCAUCUUGAUCUCUCGUAGCAUCAAAUAUAUCAAACCGCUUGACCUGAUUGUUCCAUUGGAAGCUGCAGAAGAACAGUGUUGUUCUCCAUAUAUUUGGCUGAAAUGAAAAGUGGUAAUCUGUUUUGGCAGCCACCAUAUGAACCCCCAAGUCAUUAUCUUUGGAUUUGCAAUGAACCGUAAGAACUGGACCUCCAAGAAACCGGAUUGACUCAGGAAACCGGAUUGACUCUCAAGACAAUAUCGAACAGCAUUGUAUCCAGUACUUCUCAAACCUGCUUGGCAGUGAGGUUGGGCCUCCUAUGUUUGAGCAAUCUGACAUCAACCUACUCUUCAAUUUUCGCUGCUCAAAUGAAGAUUCUCAGGGCUUCAUGAAAAAAUUCACGCCUCAGGAUGUGAAAGAUGCUUUCUUCUCUCUGCCUAAAAACAAGACGAGUGGACCUGAUGGCUAUUCUGCCGAAUUUUUCACUUCUUGCUGGCAGUUUAUUGGGCCUGAGAUCACAGAAGCUGUGCUUGAGUUCUUCUCCUCAGGUCAAAUACUAAAGCAAUGGAACUCAACAUCUCUAGUCCUCAUCCCAAAAAUCACAAAUGCCACUAGGACUACGGACUUCCGUCCCAUCUCUUGUCUCAACACUGUCUACAAGGUUAUUUCAAAGCUCUUGGCUAACAGACUGAAAAGCAUCCUCCCGAAGGUUAUCUCCAAUGCGCAAUCAGCUUUCUUACCUGGCAGACUAUUAGCUGAGAAUGUUCUACUUGCCACUGAUCUGGUUAAAGGGUACAAAGCGGCAAAUUCAGAACCAAAGGCUAUGCUAAAAGUUGAUCUCCGUAAGGCCUUCGAUUCAGUCCGCUGGGACUUCAUAAUUGCCACUCUAAAGGCUCUCUCAAUCCCUGAGCAGUUUAUUAAUUGGAUUGUUGAAUGCAUUUCGACUCCCUCCUUCUCUGUAUCUGUUAAUGGUGUCUCAGGCGGGUUUUUUCAUAGCACAAGAGGAGUUAGACAGGGUGAUCCCCUCUCGCCUUACCUCUUUGUGCUUGCCAUGGAGUCUCUCUCACGGCUACUCCAAUCCAGGUUUGACUCGGGCUGGAUCUCCUACCAUCCUAAAACAGCUGAGUUGAAUAUCUCUCAUCUUAUGUUUGCUGAUGAUGUGAUGAUUUUCUUUGAUGGCUCCACCAACUCACUUCAUGGAGUAUCAGAAUGUUUGGAUGAUUUCUCUUCUUGGUCAGGUUUGGUAGUGAAUACGGAGAAGACAGAAUUAUUCACCUCGGGUUUGAGUCCAACAGAUUCUAUGGCCAUCGCUCGAUUUGGAUUUCCUAGUGGUACUCUCCCAGUUAGAUACCUAGGACUUCCACUCUCUAGCAGGAAGCUUAAGAUAUCUGAAUACGCUCCACUAAUUGCCAAGAUUACUACAAAAUUCAGAAUGUGGGCAUCCAGAUCUCUUUCUUUCUCUGGCAGGCUAGUAUUGCUUUCUUCAGUAAUUGCAGGCCUAGUGAGCUUCUGGAUAUCAGCUUUUGUGCUUCCAAAAGGCUGCAUCCGGCAAAUAGAAUCGUUGUGCACCAGAUUCCUCUGGUCUGGUAACAUUGAUACUCCUAAAAUGGCGAAAGUAGCUUGGAGCACAGUCUGCCUCCCAAAGGAUGAAGGUGGGCUUGGGUUGAGAAGUUUCUUGGUGUGGAAUCAUGUUCUAUGCUUGCGUUUUAUUUGGCUUUUAUUCUCUGAAAGUGACUCGUUGUGGGUUGCGUGGCACCGCAAGUACCAUCUGCAGAACAAGAGCUUCUGGGUUAUUACGGAAUCUCAGAAUGACUCCUGGAUGUGGAAACGAUUACUAAAACUCAGACCAGUGGCAAAAUCUUUCUGUAAAGCAGAGCUGGGAGAUGGUAGGAAGAUUAGUUUCUGGUUUGAUGUAUGGACCCAAUGGGGUAGUCUUAUUGAUCACAUAGGAGAGCGUGGACCUGUCAAUACCCGAGUGCGUCUCCACGCAAAAGUAUGUGAUGCUGCAACGGAUUCUGGUUGGUGUUUAGGAGGAGCCAGGUCGCAGGAAGAGCUUAACCUGCAAAUUUAUCUUACAACCGUUCCUCUUCCAACUGAAACAAAUCAUGAGGACAAAUACGUAUGGGAAACGAACGGUACAUCCUCUUUAACUUUCUCAUCGGCUCUUACUUGGGAGGUGCUUAGGCCUCGCUCUCAAAAGAAAGAUUGGGCAGAUAAAAUCUGGUUUAAAGGCGCUGUUCCAAAAUUCUCUUUCACUAUGUGGAUUGCAACUCUUGACCGCCUUCCUACUAGAAUGAGGCUAGCAUCAUGGGGCCUUCAAAUGCCUACUUCUUGCUGCCUUUGCUCUGCCUCAGCUGAAACUAGGGACCACCUCCUGCUAUCUUGCCCCUUCUCCUUUGAGAUUUGGCGUCUCAUCUACCAGCGACUUUCCCCUGCGACGCAGCAGCACCUCACUUGGGCGGAGCUCCUUUCAUGGCUUCGAGGAUCGCCAAAGGACCCGCAGACUACUCUCCGCAGGCUCGCCGCUCAGACAACUAUAUUCCAUCUAUGGAGGCAGCGUAACAAUGUGCUUCAUAACCAGAUAUCUAUCUCUACGGAUGGGGUUUUCAGGUUCAUUGACCGAGAUAUUCGCAGCACCAUCACAGCUAGGAGAGCCAACAAGCUCUUCAGCUCUUUAAUGUCUCUUUGGUUGAGAUAGAUCACUCUAUCUUCUCCCGUUUGUAGCUCUGCUUUGUUUUUAACCUUUUUUUGCCAAAGUGGAGUUUCUCUUAGAUUUAAUUUGUAAAUCUGACUUUUUCAUUAAUAUGAAUAUUAACAGUUUAGCAAAAAAAAAAAAAACUGGACCUCCAAGGUUAUUUGUCAUUGUGAGGUCGGUUCGGGGCCAAAACGGUGGUAACCCAUGACUCAGACCAAACAAAAGAACCAUGAUAAGAAAAGCAAGACAAAGUUUUGGUGACUUUCUCAUUGAUGCAGGAUUUCUCAAUAAGAUUGCUAUACUGGAGUUGAACUUGAAGUAAUUUGGGAUGGCUCAACAUAUUCAGUCCAUAUAUAUAGCGCUUUGGUAGUAACUAAGCAAACAUUUUCUUAAGAGUAAUAAAUUAAUUAUUAAUGAAUUUUGACCCAAAGAAAACAUGAAUUGAACAAGUGAAUCAGUCAAAGAGUAAUAAAUUAAUUAUUAUUAGGUCCGUAUUGUAACAUGUGUUUGUGAAACUUGUCAUGCACAAAAACAAAGUGUUGACUACAUAAUAACAAAUUCUAUACUAUUAGAAGGAAAUCAUCCCAAAAAUUGACUAUACAAAAGUGUUGGAUCUAUACACCAAAACUCCAAAAUAGUCAUUUAGUGUUGAAUUAUGAUUUGAGUUCAAAUCUUAGUGAACGUGAUUUAUUAUAAUUUAAUAGAAAAAAAUUGCCAUAAUGAAAAUAAGACUAUUAGUCAUAGAGUUUUAUAAAACAGUUUAGCGUGAUGUACUUAGAAUCUAACAGCUGAAUUAUCGGUUGAAAACAUAAUAAUUUGUCAUACUGACAGCCCAUUUGCUAAUAUUUGAUUUGUUUUUUCUUAACACAGCUUUAGUUUGAUCAUCUUUUCCUUAUGCACAAUUGAAAGUAUCGACCAACAAACAGUAUUCAGGAGUAACAAAAGUAUAUAUCUUACUCAGAAGCAGCGAGGCUUACCAAAUGAGACACCAAAUCUUCAAGACAUGAAAACUGAUUCAGUAAACUCUUUUGAAAGCAUCUGAACUCAUCUCACUUAAACCUUCGUUGAUCCUCUUCAUUCCCUUCUGCAAUAACUCCACUCCUCUGCAUAUUCCUUCUGGAAGCUUCCUUCUCUUGUUCGAUUGUUUCUCUACUUCCAUUGAUCUCUGCUGCUUUCUUCCUUCUAGAAGCUUCUGCACUGUUGCCUUUCUGUUCUGGUCAUGCGCUUAGAUCCCAUCAGUUAUAUUAGUAAGUGACAAAAAGAAAGAAGAACAAUAUUUUAUAUUUAGAGCUGAAGUGAGUGAUCAUGGAUGAUGUGCAGGAAAUGAGAUCCCCAAGAACCCUGGAUGGAGGUUAGGAAGCUAGGCACUGUCAAGUGUCAACUACCUGGAAUCACUUAAACUUCAAGACAAGUUCGUUUCCGAGAGAAAAGCUAAUCGAAUCCCGGAUACACUCCUCUCUCUUCAGCAUCACCAUCUUACACCCUCGGAAAACGUAGAACCGAUCACAACCUACUGAUCCCUGAAGCUGAACUCAAAGGCAUUGGAGCUGAGCUUCACUAUACUCAAAGCGGAGGAGAUAUCACUUUCCAUGGCCCUCAUCAAGCCAUCUUAUACCCCGUCAUCUCCUUACGCAGCAUUGGUAUUGGUGCUAAGAACUAUGUAGAGACGUUGGAGAGGUCAAUGGUUUCGCUAUUUUGGUAAUAUUAGUCGAAGUUAAGGCCUUAGUACUCUUAUAUAUUGAAACUUUUUUUCUUAAAAUGAAUAUUCUUUUUCCCAACAGUUCUUAUCUCCUCUGAUUAUAUUAUACGUAAAAAGGGUUUUUUCAUCUAUAAUAUUUUUUCUUUUAAAUAUUGAAAUACAAAGUAAAUAAAAUAGUAAAUUCAAAUAUCUCAAAUUAUUAACUUCACAACAGACCAUUUUAAACUAAUACAAAGAAAAAUAAACACAAUGAAACAAAUGAAACUAGAUUAAUGAAGUCUUUGAAAAGAUGAUCAUCAUAAAAAGACUUUUAUUAGAUGUUUCAUUUGAUCAUCUUUAUACAUUUUUUAUUUUGUUGGUAAAAAACAUCUUUAUAUAUUUAUCAUCACAAUCAUAUAUUAUCAAAUCAUUUCCAUGGAAAACAUUUAAUUUGUUUACCAAUCUUGCAUGGGCUAUCAGGUUUGAUAGUCCAGUUAAAUUUAUAACCGUCAUCUUGAUCUCUCGGAGCAUCAAAUAUAUCAAACUGCUUGACCUGAUCGUUCCAUUGGAAGCUGCAGAAGAACAGUGUUGUUUUCCAUAUAUUUGGCUGAAAUGAAAAGUGGUAAUCUGUUUUGGAAGCCACCAUGUGAACCCCCAAAUCAUCAUCUUUGGAUUUGCAAUGAACCGUAAGAACUGGACCUCCAAUAUUAUUUGUCAUCGUGAGGUCGGUUCGGGGCCACAACGGUGGUAACUCAUGACUCGGACCAAACAAAAGAACCAUGAUCAGAAAAGCAACACAAAGUUUUGAUGAAUUUCUCAUUGAUACAGGAUUUCUCAAUAAGAUUUGCUAUAUUGGAGUUGAGUCUGUAGGAAUUGAGACUGGCUUAGCAUAUUCUUUCCAUAUAUAGUGCUUUUGUAGUAAUUAAA